This 467-nucleotide ribosomal RNA is filed under the name uncultured eukaryote. RNAcentral's name for it is "SSU rRNA". It matches the Rfam family "Eukaryotic small subunit ribosomal RNA", at positions 63 to 549 of the family's 1831-position model. The record is from RNAcentral.
GCUUUGUUUUAUUUUAACAUUAKAUUGCAAAUGGCUCAUUAUAACAGUUAUUAUAUUAUUGAGAUUAUUUUAUAGGKGGAUACUUAUGAGAAAAUUAUUAAAAAUAUAUGAUUUUAAAAUAUUUAUUUAUUUGGSAUUUAUUUGCUUUCAAACCAAAAUGUUUUAUCAUUAUGGAUGAUUCAUAGUAAUGUUUGGAGAACGCUUCGAUAUGCGGCAGAUCUUCACGGUUUCUGACCUAUCAGUUAGUCAGUAGUGUACUGGACUACUGAAGCGUUGACGGGUAACAGAGAAUUAGGGUUCUGUUCCGGAGAAGGAGCCUGAGAAACAGCUACUAUAUCUAAGGAACGCAGCAGGCGCGUAAAUUACCCAAUUCUGAUAAAGAGAGGUAGUGAUAAGAAAUCACAAUAUUUUACCUUAGGGUUAAGUAAUUGAAUUGAGAACACAGUAGCCAUAUUACCAAUAAACUA